CCUACGGGCGGCUGCAGUGAGGAAUAUUGGUCAAUGGCCGGAAGUCUGACCCAGCCAUGCCGCGUGAAGGUCAGUGCCCUAUGGGCGUUAAACUUCUUUUGUGCGGGAGCAAUAAUUGUCACGUUUGGCCAUUCGAGAGUACCGUACGUAUAAGCAUCGGCUAACUGCGUGCCAGCAGCCGCGGGCAUACGGGGGAUGCAAGUGUUUUCCGGUUUUAUUGGGUUUUAAGGGUGCGUAGGCUGGGUGGUAAGUGAGCGGUGUAAUGCUCCCGGUCAACGGGGUGAAGUGCCAUUGAUACUGCCUGGCUGGAAUGCAGAUGCGGUGGGAGGAAUUGGUGGUGUAGCGGUGAAAUGCAUAGAUAUCACACAGAACACCGAUUGCGAAGGCAGCUCACGAAUCCGCGAUUGACGCUGAGGCACGAAAGCGUGGGUAUCAAACAGGAUUAGAUACCCGAGUAGUC
RNAcentral lists this ribosomal RNA (460 nucleotides) under uncultured bacterium. RNAcentral describes it as "partial 16S ribosomal RNA". It matches the Rfam family "Bacterial small subunit ribosomal RNA", at positions 338 to 795 of the family's 1533-position model. The record is from RNAcentral.